CUCCUUCCCCGGUGCCGGUCACCUCCCUCCACCACGCGCCACUCCCCUCCUUCUCCAGCGCCGGCCACCUACCUAAAUCAUGCAGAUCCACACCAUCCCCGCACUCCUCCUUCAUCCUGCUGGCAGAUCUCGUGCGCCGCGCUCUGGCAGUCGGUGAUGCUUCCCUGCCACCACUCUGCCUCCUUCCCCGAUGGGGCAACAUCGCCGCGCGUACAAGAAGUUCAUCACCGCCACCUUAGGCAGUUCAAUGUCGACGUCGUGGAUGCGCCCCACUCCAACGCCAUGGCUUGGGCUUCAGCGGCAAACAAUGGAGCCUGCAGGGGGAGCCGCGGGGUCGAGGACGUCUAGUUCAACAGUUCAACUGCUUGCUCGGCCGCCGGUCAAUCAAGGAGCUUGUCAUUCCCUACUGUGCAACCAUCAAGCGUGUGCUAAUUGUGACUGAGGUUGCACUGCUCACGGUAGGUCUCGGCGUUUGAAACAAUUAGCAGCAAUACAGAGAGCAGUUUCACACUACAGAAACCAAUGGUGAAAACUUCUGAAUGCAGCAAUGGCAUGCUCCCAGCCCGCCGAGACUGAAUCAUUCGACACUACUUCUCUGUACAGUGUGGCUCGAUGUGCAGCCCGCCGGCUCCAUUGUGUACAUCCAGACAAGACGCUAUGGUGUAGAAUUUAAUGCAUGAAAUAUUAUCGUCUAGGAAUACAUCAGCAGGGAAGGUCGCUGCUUCAGGAGUAGCAGCGCGCCGCUGUUGACGCUACAAGGGGAGGCAGAAGUGGGGUGAGGCACUGUGACGGUCGCAUUCCAGGAGGUCCGUCAGAGCUUUAGAAAGGUGA
Molecule: long non-coding RNA, 831 nt
Organism: Triticum dicoccoides
Lineage: Eukaryota; Viridiplantae; Streptophyta; Magnoliopsida; Poales; Poaceae
Exons: 4
Source: RefSeq, a predicted model, not a curated record